AGCAGCCGCGGUAAUUCCAGCUCCAAUAGCGUAUAUUAAAGUUGUUGCAGUUAAAAAGCUCGUAGUUGAAUUUCGGGGUCAGUAGGUUGGUCAUGCCACUGGUAUGUACUGGUCUCACUGAUUCCUCCUUCCUGAUGAGCCGUAAUGCCAUUAAUUUGGUGUUGCGAGGAAUCUGGACUGUUACUUUGAAAAAAUUAGAGUGUUUAAAGCAGGCUAACGCUUGAAUACAUUAGCAUGGAAUAAUGAAAUAGGACGUUCGAUCUUAUUUUGUAGGUUUCUAAGAUUGACGUAAUGAUUAAUAGGGAUAGUUGGGGGCAUUAGUAUUCAAUUGUCAGAGGUGAAAUUCUUGGAUUUAUUGAGGACUAACUACUGCGAAAGCAUUUGCCAAGGAUGUUUUCAUUAAAUCAAGAACGAAAGUUAGGGGAUCGAGACGAUCAGAUACCGUCGUAGUCUUAACCAUAAACUAUGCCGACUAGGGAUCGGAUGAUGUAAUUUUUAUGA
This 501-nucleotide ribosomal RNA is filed under the name uncultured Glomus. Its description in RNAcentral is "SSU rRNA". It matches the Rfam family "Eukaryotic small subunit ribosomal RNA", at positions 569 to 1074 of the family's 1831-position model. Lineage: Eukaryota; Fungi; Glomeromycota; Glomeromycetes; Glomerales; Glomeraceae. The record is from RNAcentral.